RNAcentral lists this ribosomal RNA (301 nucleotides) under uncultured bacterium. Its description in RNAcentral is "partial 16S ribosomal RNA". It matches the Rfam family "Bacterial small subunit ribosomal RNA", at positions 509 to 809 of the family's 1533-position model. The record is from RNAcentral.
CAGUAGCCGCGGUAAUACGUAGGGUGCAAGCGUUAAUCGGAAUUACUGGGCGUAAAGCGUGCGCAGGCGGUUCUAUAAGACAGAUGUGAAAUCCCCGGGCUCAACCUGGGAACUGCAUUUGUGACUGUAGAGCUGGAGUGCGGCAGAGGGGGAUGGAAUUCCGCGUGUAGCAGUGAAAUGCGUAGAUAUGCGGAGGAACACCGAUGGCGAAGGCAAUCCCCUGGGCCUGCACUGACGCUCAUGCACGAAAGCGUGGGGAGCAAACAGGAUUAGAUACCCGCGUAGUCCCUGUCUCUUAUAA